CCUCUCCCUCUCCGAUGACAACAAGGAGGCACUAGGGGGCGUCUGCAAGGUCCUGACCACCAGGGUGGGAGACAUCCUGAACAGUACCUGCAACGACGAUUACAAGGCCAGGCUCAUCAUCCAGAAAGGAUUGGAUUCCGGUGCCAGGGAAAGGUUCCCUGACUCUCCGUGUUCCUCUUCACCCAAGGACGAAGAGGAGGUGGUUGUAAGUGUCAUGACUGUCUCAUACCCUAAACCCUCCACCUCAACCCAGGCAGCAUGGGCAGCUCCUGCCCAGACUCUGGAAGAAGAGGUGGUGGGGGCUGAGGUCUCCAAGAUGAGUGACAGCUCCCUGAUGCCCACCAAGAACAGGCAGGACCCCCUGGAGAAGAUUCCCUCCCUCCUACCAUGCAAGGAGCACAUCCUCCUUUGCAGCACUCCCUGGGCCACCGUCAUGGGCCCCCAGACUCUGAAGUUUAUUCUCCACGGCAUCAUGUGCCGACUGGAGGCCUCAGAGUCCCCCCAGACAAGGAGGGCCAAUGACCCCUUCAGGCUGAUGAAGGAUCUCUUUGUGGAGGUCCAGCAUGCCCUGAAGUAUGCUGACAUCUCUGUCGUCUUUGGCCUGGAGGAGAGCAUCCAAUUCAGUGGGGAGGAUGCGGUGAAUGCCAUCGUGAAGACUGCGGCUAAAAGAUUGUCCCUGCGUUCGGACUCCAACCGGGCUCAACUGCGUGCCGCACGCUCUGGUAGCGAGGGAGCCAUCAGGUGCAUGGCAGACACCAUCACACAAGUCAUAGAUGACUAUUCCGAGGACUGGAGUUUCAAAGGCCAUUUUGGAGCCAGGAGGAGCCGUGGUAGUGGGAGGUCACACUCCUCAACCUCCUCAAGGAGUGACGUCACCCUCACCGAGGAGCUCCUGGCUUGGAGGGAAACCCUAGAAGAGGACCUAGAGGAGAUGGCUGAUGACAGCACUGGUUUGGAAAAGACCAGUGUAAGCUCAGCCAUCUCUGAAAAGUCCCAGGUAAUUAGCUACCUUUCUGAAAGCACCAAGCCCAUCAGCAGCGCCCUCUCCACAGACCUCGAGGACAUCACCUCCACACAGAAGGAAGAGGCUAUGAUGAAAGAAGUGAGGAAGUCAGGAAAGAAGAAGCGAGGAAAUAACAAGAACCAGAAGAAGAACAAGGUGUCGCCUCUUAGCAAUGAUAGUACUGUGGCUGCAGAUGAGCCUAAGAAAAAACAGGCUCUCCUCCCGCGGAUCACAGCCGCCCUGGCAAAACUAUUUUGCUUCCCCUGCAAAAAAAAAUGCAAAUAGUAACUGUGCAGAAGAUGAGUUUGGGAAAACCCUGCUGCCACCUCCCCCAACCCACUUUCUAAAUAAACUCUCAAAGCCAACAGAAGAGGGAGAGAGACAACCCCCCUACUCACAACUCAUUUUAUAACACCCCAUUUAAUUCAAUAAACACAACUUGCAGCUAUUUUGAUGU
RNAcentral lists this long non-coding RNA (1460 nucleotides) under Oncorhynchus kisutch (coho salmon). Its description in RNAcentral is "lncRNA (ENSOKIG00005023792.1)". The record is from RNAcentral. Lineage: Eukaryota; Metazoa; Chordata; Actinopteri; Salmoniformes; Salmonidae.